GUUCACCCAAAGGGUACACCUUGACUUUGUAAUAGUAUCCCUGACUGUUCUGUUAAAUUUCAAAAUGAGAAAACUCUUUUUCGUCUAUUGACAGAUAAUGUGCACCCAAAUUAAGUGUGAGUGGGGGUCUGACUGUAUGUCUAAAGUGUACAGGCAGAGAUGAAUGUGUGUGGCUUUAGCAGAUCCACACUCAUCCAGGGAUAACUGGACCAUGGGGGCAGGGUGGGAGUGGAGAGAAGUCAUCAUAGGAUGGUAAUCAGGUGCUUGCAGGGAGAAGAGAAGGAAAAGCAGAUGAGUGAACAAGGGCAGAUGGUGCUGGAGAAUUCCAUCAAGUGGGCAUCAAGAAGGGACUGGAGGUUAAAACCUUUGGGAUAAAGAAGAAGAAAAAAAGACAAGCUGGUAAAAAGUAAGGUCUGGGGGGUGGAGGCAAGAAGGGGAGUUGCUAAAAACUCUAGAAUAAGCAGUAAGACAUCUUUCAAUAAAACUGCCCCUUCCCAGAUGGCACCUGGGCACUGUUUGCUGGGCACAAACAUGGCACUGUUUCCUAGGAGAUGAUUCCUCCAGUUCUUUAAGGUAGUAAUGAAUGACAACAAGAAGUUACUUCUCUAUGCUACACACGGUGUAGAAUCCAGAGCCUGACUGGCUGUGACGCGCCCAUGGUGACACCAAGGGGACUCUGCAUGGGCACAUCCCGGCCCUCCUCCCUGCAUGUUCUCCAAGCCAGGUCUUUGAAACCUCCAGUGAUGAAGAACCCAGCUUGCUUUGGAACUACAGUCAGCCCUGCAACCCACCCUCACCUUGGACCCUGCUGCUGCUGUCUGUAAAGACAAUGCUGCGAUGAAUACACCUGUGCAUUCUUUUUUAGAACAAGUGUAAGAAUUCCUAUGUGGUAAGUCUGUUUAAAGAGAAUUUCAGAUUCACGUGUAGAUGUGUUAAGUUUGAGCGAUGUUGCCAAACUCUCUUGAACUUAUACCCUCUGUAAUAAUAUAUUGGGAUAUUUGUUUCCUUUUGUUCUUGUCAGUUUUCAUACUAUAAAACUUAAACAUGUUUGACAAUCUGACUGGAAAUGGCUUUGUACUGUUUUAAUUUACUUUUCUUUGCAUUAUGGUAGAUAUCUCUAACUGUCCUCUAGUAUCGACCUUCUUCCUUUUAGUGGUUAAAGACUACAUUUCCCAGCUGCCUUUGCAGCUGGCUGUGGUCAUGUGACUUAGUUCAGGCCAAUGGGAUGAAAGCUUGCCUUGGUCUUCCCCUUUUCCUCUUUCCAGCAGCUGGAAAAGUGCUGACCAGAGCAUUGUUGAAGGCCGUAUAGUAAGAAUGGCAAAGCUUCCCUACCAGCCCAACUGACUGUUUUGUGGUGCAGAGGCCAUCUAUUAUGUGAGAGAGAGCAAUAAAUAUAUAUAUAUAUAUUUUUCUAAGAGACUGGAGUCUCACUAUGUUGCCCAGGCUGGCCUUGAACUCCUGGCCUAAAGCAAUCCUCCCACCUCAGUCUUCCAAGUAGCUGGGACUACAAGUGUGUGCCACCAUGCCCAGCUCUAUAAACGUCUAUUUUUAUUGAGUCCCUAUGUGAGAUCAUUUUCUUGUAGCAGCUUACAUUCUGUACUAAAUUAUACAUGCAAUUUUUCAAAUGUAUUGGACAUUUACACUUUUUCUUCCAUGAUUUGCUUGUUCAAACCAUUUGCUUGUUUUCCAGUUAGGUUUUGCUUUUUACAUAUUUUAAUGGGUAUUCUUCGAAUAUUUUGGAAAUUUCUCCUUUGUUAAAAUGUUAUACCUCCCUCUCCCUCUCCCUCUCCCUCUCCCUCUCCCUCUCCCUCUCCGUCUCCCUCC
Molecule: long non-coding RNA, 1824 nt
Filed under: Homo sapiens (human)
Lineage: Eukaryota; Metazoa; Chordata; Mammalia; Primates; Hominidae
Description: HSALNT0164001
Source: RNAcentral